CAAAAAAAAAAAAAAUCUAAGACAAUGUGCUGUGUUUGAAUUCCUGGUAUUUGUGUACUCUCUUAGUAUUUUCUGUUUCAUGGAAUACAUGUAAUUAAAUGCUGUUUCCUAUCAUGUGCUUUUUGAGGUUUUCUUUCUUGCAUAGAUAGCAUCAGAUAACAAUAAAUAUGGGUUUUCCUUUUUGUUAGAUCUACCUCCACUUAGCAUUAAAUUAAAUGUUGUCUCCUUAAGACAUUGAAUUGAACAAGCCAAUGCAAGGUGUUUAUCAAUAUUUUUUUAGUCACUUAUCCUUGGUAUUUACUGCCAAUGGAUUUGAUAAUGUUAUUGGAUGUUACUGUUGUACUUUUGUACAACAAAGUAAUGUAUUAUGGGAAUGUGUAUAAUUUCCUAAGUUAACUUCAUUUAAAGCACUCUCUUUCAGUUAUUAAACAUUAUUAUUGUGUUCAUAGUUGAAUUUUCAUAAUUUUUAUGAAAAAGUAACUGCUUACGUGGUGUUUAAUUUGCAUGUUUAGUGCUGUGCAACUAUGUGCCUUUCACCUACUCACUGGAGAAGGGAGCAAAAAAGAUUUUCCUGUCACAGAACAUGUAUAUAGUAGUUGUUUAUUAUUUCAGUUGUGGUGCUGGAGCCAACUGUUGGUUAUUCUUGUGUUUAGAUAAGUUCGCAGAAGAAGAAAA
Molecule: unclassified non-coding RNA, 675 nt
Filed under: Hevea brasiliensis (rubber tree)
Lineage: Eukaryota; Viridiplantae; Streptophyta; Magnoliopsida; Malpighiales; Euphorbiaceae
Source: RNAcentral